GAUGAAGAACGUAGUGAAAUGCGAUAAGUAGUGUGAAUUGCAGAAUUCAGUGAAUCAUCGAAUCUUUGAACGCACAUUGCGCCCUUUGGUAUUCCUUAGGGCAUGCCUGUUCGAGCGUCAUUUAAACCUUCAAGCUCAGCUUGGUGAUGGGUGACUGUCCUCCCCUCGCGGGGGGACUCGCCUCAAAAACAUUGGCGGCCGGUACAUUGGCUUCGAGCGCAGCAGAAACGCGGUCUCGAGUCCGGUGGAUCGGCUCCCAUAAGUCUAUUCUUUUAUUUUGACCUCGGAUCAGGUAGGGAUACCCGCUGAACUUAAGCAUAUCAAUAAGCGGAGGA
This 335-nucleotide unclassified non-coding RNA is filed under the name soil metagenome. RNAcentral's name for it is "partial contains 5.8S ribosomal RNA, internal transcribed spacer 2, and large subunit ribosomal RNA". The stretch from base 1 to 120 matches the Rfam family "5.8S ribosomal RNA", at positions 35 to 154 of the family's 154-position model. The record is from RNAcentral.